AAGGGAGAGGAAUACGUAGAAAUCUACCCCUGAGACCGGGAUAGCGUCGGGAAACUGGCAGUAAUACCGGAUAAUGUCUUAGGACCAAAGGUGUGAUUCCACUUGGGGAUGAGUCUACGCCCUAUUAGCUAGUUGGUGGGGUAAUGGCCUACCAAGGCGAUGAUGGGUAGCGGGUGUGAGAGCAUGAUCCGCCUCACUGGGACUGAGAACUGCCCAGACACCUACGGGUGGCUGCAGUCGAGAAUCUUUGUCAAUGGACGAAAGUCUGAACAAGCGACGCCGCGUGCGGGAUGAAGGCCUUCGGGUUGUAAACCGCUGUCGUAGGGGAACAAAUGUACGGGGGUACUCCCCUGUAUUUGAGUGAUCCUAGGAGGAAGGAGAGGCUAAGCUCGUGCCAGCAGCCGCGGUAAGACGAGCUCUCCAAACGUUAUUCGGUAUCACUGGGCUUAAAGAGUUCGUAGGCGGCCUAGCAGGUCAGGUGUGAAAUCCCACAGCUCAACUGUGGAAUAGCGCUUGAAACCGUUAGGCUUGAGGGAGAUAGAGGUAGGCGGAACAGAUGGUGGAGCGGUGAAAUGCGUUGA
This 581-nucleotide ribosomal RNA is filed under the name uncultured bacterium. RNAcentral's name for it is "bacterial SSU rRNA". It matches the Rfam family "Bacterial small subunit ribosomal RNA", at positions 102 to 694 of the family's 1533-position model. The record is from RNAcentral.